CAAUAGCGUAUAUUUAAGUUGCUGCAGUUAAAAAGCUCGUAGUUGGAUUUCUGGUGGGAGCGGUUGGUCUGCCCCGCGAGGGGUAGUUACUGAGCCGUAUCCGGCCCUUUUCGGGUUGACCGUGGCUGGCAUUAAUUUGUCGGUGCGGGGGGCCCGUCGUUUACUGUGAACAAAUUAGAGUGUUCAAAGCAGGGUGUUCUUGAAUACAUUAGCAUGGAAUAAUGAGAUAGGACUUUGGUGGUUCUCACUUUAUGUGGGAUAUUUUGUUGGUUUGCACGCCAAAGUAAUGAUUAAUAGGAGCAGUUGGGGUAUUCGUAUUCAAUUGUCAGAGGUGAAAUUCUUGGAUUUCUAGAAGACGAACUACUGCGAAAGCAUUUACCAAGGAUGUUUUCAUUAA
This 397-nucleotide ribosomal RNA is filed under the name uncultured eukaryote. Its description in RNAcentral is "partial 18S ribosomal RNA". It matches the Rfam family "Eukaryotic small subunit ribosomal RNA", at positions 592 to 976 of the family's 1831-position model. The record is from RNAcentral.